RNAcentral lists this long non-coding RNA (323 nucleotides) under Mytilus galloprovincialis (Mediterranean mussel). Lineage: Eukaryota; Metazoa; Mollusca; Bivalvia; Mytilida; Mytilidae. The record is from RNAcentral.
CCUUGUUCGACGGACCCGCCCGCACCUAUUUUUUUCAAAACAGAUUUUUUUUUUGAUAUACAUUCCCGCUUCCAGCAUUUGGAAAUGUAAUCAUGUUCAUUUCCCGCACCGUUUUUUUUUGUGUAAAUAUUAUAAAAAGAUAUCAACAUUUGUUUUUAAAAUCACAGUCUAACCUGUAAAUAACGAUUUUAAACAUAAAAGCACCCCACCACACUUUGUAAAUAUCUGUGAGAAUAUUUGUUUCAGCAUGAAACCUAUUUAUCCAAAGCGGGAGUGCUCCGUAAUAAAUUUAUAACAGCGGAAAUACCUGUAAAGAACAAAAA